This 305-nucleotide ribosomal RNA is filed under the name uncultured bacterium. RNAcentral's name for it is "bacterial SSU rRNA". It matches the Rfam family "Bacterial small subunit ribosomal RNA", at positions 28 to 334 of the family's 1533-position model. The record is from RNAcentral.
GAUGAACGCUAGCGGGAGGCCUAACACAUGCAAGCCGAGCGGUAUUGUUCCUUCGGGAAUUGAGAGAGCGGCGUACGGGUGCGGAACACGUGUGCAACCUGCCUUUAUCUGGGGGAUAGCCUUUCGAAAGGAAGAUUAAUACUCCAUAACAUAUUGAUUGGCAUCAAUUAAUAUUGAAAGCUCCGGCGGAUAGAGAUGGGCACGCGCAAGAUUAGCUAGUUGGUGAGGUAACGGCUCACCAAGGCGAUGAUCUUUAGGGGGCCUGAGAGGGUGAUCCCCCACACUGGUACUGAGACACGGACCAG